RNAcentral lists this ribosomal RNA (281 nucleotides) under fungal sp. RNAcentral describes it as "partial 18S ribosomal RNA". It matches the Rfam family "Eukaryotic small subunit ribosomal RNA", at positions 548 to 832 of the family's 1831-position model. The record is from RNAcentral. Lineage: Eukaryota; Fungi.
UUGGAGGGCAAGUCUGGUGCCAGCACCCGCGGUAAUUCCAGCUCCAGUAGCGUAUAUUAAAAUUGUUGCAGUUAAAAAGCUCGUAGUCGACCUUGAGCGGGCGCUGUACAGGUCCGGAUCAUUAAAAAAAUCCGAGUACCUUCUCGCCCCGUAUGACAUAUGGGAUUGCGGGGGUUCGCCCUUCGUUUUUCCCAUUUUACUUUGAAAAAAAUAGAGCGUUCGAGGCAUACGUAUACGACCGUAUUGAAUAAGUUAGCAGAGUAUAAAUAAAUACGACGCUA